Molecule: ribosomal RNA, 279 nt
Filed under: uncultured bacterium
Lineage: Bacteria
Description: partial 16S ribosomal RNA
Rfam family: Bacterial small subunit ribosomal RNA
Source: RNAcentral
UGCCAGCCGCCGCGGUAAUACAGAGGUGGCAAGUGUUGUUCGGUAUCACUGGGCUUAAGGGGCGCGUAGGCGGCGCAGAACGGUCCGGGUGAAAUCCCACGGCUUAACCGUGGAAUGGCCUGGGCUACGGCUGUGCUAGACAGCAUCAGGGGAAGGUGGAACUCCGGGUGGAGCGGUGAAAUGCGUAGAUAUCCGGAGGAACGCCGGUGGCGAAAGCGCAUCACUGGGUCUUUUCUGACGCUGAGGCACGAAAGCUAGGGUAGCGAACGGGAUUAGAUA